This 487-nucleotide ribosomal RNA is filed under the name uncultured bacterium. RNAcentral describes it as "bacterial SSU rRNA". It matches the Rfam family "Bacterial small subunit ribosomal RNA", at positions 28 to 524 of the family's 1533-position model. The record is from RNAcentral.
GAUGAACGCUAGCGGCAGGCUUAAUACAUGCAAGUCAAGGGGGUAGCAAUACUACCGGCGCACGGGUGAGUAACACGUACAUAACAUACCAUAUACUGGGGUAUAGCUUUGGGAAACUGAAGGUAAUCCCCCAUAACAUUGCGAGAGGGCAUCUGAUUGCAAUUAAAGUUUCGACGGUAUAUGAUUGAUGUGCGUUUGAUUAGCUUGUUGGUAGGGUAACGGCCUACCAAGGCGACGAUCAAUAGCUGGCGUGAGAGCGCGACCAGCCACACUGGAACUGAGACACGGUCCAGACUCCUACGGGAGGCAGCAGUAGGGAAUAUUGGACAAUGGGCGAAAGCCUGAUCCAGCCAUGCCGCGUGAUAGAUGAAGGCCCUCUGGGUUGUAAAUAUCUUUUAUCUGGGAAGAAACAAUCUUAUUCUUAAAGAUCUUGACGGUACCAGAGGAAUAAGCACCGGCUAAACUCCGUGCCAGCAGCCGCGGUAAU